RNAcentral lists this ribosomal RNA (726 nucleotides) under Salmonella enterica. RNAcentral's name for it is "bacterial SSU rRNA". It matches the Rfam family "Bacterial small subunit ribosomal RNA", at positions 1 to 716 of the family's 1533-position model. Lineage: Bacteria; Pseudomonadati; Pseudomonadota; Gammaproteobacteria; Enterobacterales; Enterobacteriaceae. The record is from RNAcentral.
AAAUUGAAGAGUUUGAUCAUGGCUCAGAUUGAACGCUGGCGGCAGGCCUAACACAUGCAAGUCGAACGGUAACAGGAAGCAGCUUGCUGCUUUGCUGACGAGUGGCGGACGGGUGAGUAAUGUCUGGGAAACUGCCUGAUGGAGGGGGAUAACUACUGGAAACGGUGGCUAAUACCGCAUAACGUCGCAAGACCAAAGAGGGGGACCUUCGGGCCUCUUGCCAUCAGAUGUGCCCAGAUGGGAUUAGCUUGUUGGUGAGGUAACGGCUCACCAAGGCGACGAUCCCUAGCUGGUCUGAGAGGAUGACCAGCCACACUGGAACUGAGACACGGUUCAGACUCCUACGGGAGGCAGCAGUGGGGAAUAUUGCACAAUGGGCGCAAGCCUGAUGCAGCCAUGCCGCGUGUAUGAAGAAGGCCUUCGGGUUGUAAAGUACUUUCAGCGGGGAGGAAGGUGUUGUGGUUAAUAACCACAGCAAUUGACGUUACCCGCAGAAGAAGCACCGGCUAACUCCGUGCCAGCAGCCGCGGUAAUACGGAGGGUGCAAGCGUUAAUCGGAAUUACUGGGCGUAAAGCGCACGCAGGCGGUCUGUCAAGUCGGAUGUGAAAUCCCCGGGCUCAACCUGGGAACUGCAUUCGAAACUGGCAGGCUUGAGUCUUGUAGAGGGGGGUAGAAUUCCAGGUGUAGCGGUGAAAUGCGUAGAGAUCUGGAGGAAUACCGGUGGC